RNAcentral lists this long non-coding RNA (221 nucleotides) under Mytilus galloprovincialis (Mediterranean mussel). Lineage: Eukaryota; Metazoa; Mollusca; Bivalvia; Mytilida; Mytilidae. The record is from RNAcentral.
CCCCCGUCAGAUUUGCUCUAAAUGCUUUGGUUUUUGAGUUAUAAGCCAAAAACUGCAUUUUACCCCUAUGUUCUAUUUUUAGCCAUGGCGGCCAUCUUGGUUGGAAUGGCCAGGUCACCGGAUACAUUUUUUAAACUAGAUACCCCAAAGAUGAUUUUGGCCAAGUUUGGAUAAAUUUGGCCCAGUAGUUUCAGAGGAGAAGAUUUUUGUAAAAGUUAACG